AGACAGGUUAAUAUUUUGCUUUCCCUGGAGCUCUGGCCAUAGCAACCUGCAUGCUUGAAAUGCUGACCACUCUCAGACUUGGUCAACUUGCCUUCAGCUUGUUUGAGAUGGUGUAUAUUAGUCACGAAGACCUAGGCAUUCAAGCUGUUAACUCUUAGAUUCUUACUCCUGUGAGGCUAGCUACAGAAAUCCAGGUGGAGAAUGGGCCUAGACCGCAAGCCAAGAUGUCCUGAAAGAGUGUGGUGCCUACAUUUCUUCAUUGUCUCCUGUCCUCGGUUCUCAUCUUACUUCUUCGAUCUACCAAAAUGGCACCACUUCCCUGUUCUGCAGUCCAUGGACUUGCCUCUGCUUGUCCACAGAUCUCUCCCUACUGUGCCACCUCCCCUCUUCCAGGUGAAUUAAAUCCUUUCUCAAG
RNAcentral lists this long non-coding RNA (415 nucleotides) under Fukomys damarensis (Damara mole-rat). Its description in RNAcentral is "lncRNA (ENSFDAG00000024261.1)". Lineage: Eukaryota; Metazoa; Chordata; Mammalia; Rodentia; Bathyergidae. The record is from RNAcentral.